UAGCUCAGUCGGUAGAGCAGAGGAUUGAAAAUCCUCGUGUCGGUGGUUCGAUUCCGCCCCAGGCACCA
RNAcentral lists this transfer RNA (68 nucleotides) under Vibrio cholerae O1 biovar El Tor. RNAcentral describes it as "tRNA-Phe". It matches the Rfam family "tRNA". From Rfam's summary of the family: Transfer RNA (tRNA) molecules are approximately 80 nucleotides in length. Their secondary structure includes four short double-helical elements and three loops (D, anti-codon, and T loops). Lineage: Bacteria; Pseudomonadati; Pseudomonadota; Gammaproteobacteria; Vibrionales; Vibrionaceae. The record is from RNAcentral.